GCAUGUCUGAGUACAGACCGAUCUAAGGUGAAACCGCGAAUGGCUCAUUAAAUCAGUCAUAAUUCCUUGGAUAGUGAUAAACUUCCUCGGAUAACUGUGGAAAAUCCAGAGCUAAUACGUGCAACUGAGCUCCGACCUCGGCGUGAGCCUUGGGAAGAGCGCAUUUAUUAGAUUCAAAACUGACCGGUGUACUCCUUCGGGAUGCGCCGUUUGUCGAAAGUUUGAUGACUCCGGAUAACUUAGCCGAGCGCUACGGUCUUAGUACCGGCGCCGUAUCUUUCAAGUGUCUGCCUUAUCAGCUUUCGAUUGUAGGUUAAACGCCUACAAUGGCUGUAACGGGUAACGGGGAAUCAGGGUUCGAUUCCGGAGAGGGAGCCUGAGAAACGGCUACCACAUCUAAGGAAGGCAGCAGGCACGCAAAUUACCCACUCCCAGCCCGGGGAGGUAGUGACGAAAAAUAACGAUGCGAGACUCUUCCGAGGCCUCGCAAUCGGAAUGAGUCCAUUUUAAAUGUUUGGACGAGGAUCCAUUGGAGGGCAAGUCUGGUGCCAGCAGCCGCGGUAAUUCCAGCUCCAAUAGCGUAUAUUAAAGUUGCUGCGGUUAAAAAGCUCGUAGUUGGACUUCCUAGAUCCAAUUCGCGAGCGAGUCGCUCGUUGAGCUAACGUCCCGCGUCAGUCGCUGAAUGACUUCCAACGGCGCGUUUCUUUCGUCGUCGCGUUCGAGUCUUUGAGUCUACCUUCGCGGGUAUGUCUUAUUUUCUCGCGCGUUGUCGUUCGAGGAUCGCUCACCUGAGGUUUUAAGGAGUUUAGCGGACGGCGGGUUGCGUUGUCUUCGGGUAUCGCUCGUUCGCGUUUGGUACAAUUAAAAUUUUGUCGGCUCGCUCGGAGUGCUCUUUACCGAGUGUUCCAGGGUGGCCGACACGUUCACUUUGAAAAAAUUAGAGUGCUUAAAGCAGCCUUGUAGUCGGCCCGAAUGUCUGUGCAUGGAAUGAAGUAACAGGACCUCGAUUCUGUUGUUUUUGUCGGUUUUAUUGAACCGAGGUAAUGAUUAAAAGGGACAGACGGUGGCAUUAGUAUUGUGGCGCUAGAGGUGAAAUUCUUGGACCGCCGCAAGACUAACUACUGCGAAAGCAUUUGCCGAGAAUGUUUUCAUUAAUCAAGAACGAAAGUUGGAGGAUCGAAGGCGAUCAGAUACCGCCCUAGUUCUAACCCUAAACUAUGCUAACUAGCGAUCCGCCGGAGUCAUUCCCACGACCCGGCGGGAAGCCCCAGGGAAACCAAAGUCUUUGAGUUCCGGGGGAAGUAUGGUUGCAAAGCUGAAACUUAAAGGAAUGACGGAAGGGCACCACCAGGAGGGAGCCUGCGGCUUAAUUUGACUCAACACGGGAAACCUCACCAGGCCCGGACAUCAUNAGGAUUGACAGGGUGAGAGCUCUUUCUCGAUUUGAUGGGUGGUGGUGCAUGGCCGUUCUUAGUUGGUGGAGUGAUCUGUCUGGUUGAUUCCGAUAACGAACGAGACUCUACCCUACUAACUAGUCGGCGGAUCGUAACCCUGAGAUGGUUAGUUUGUUGGAUGGCGGGUUUGUCGAGAUGAAUGUCCUUUGGCGUUUUAUGUUUCGUUCGUGCGUUGGUGUGCGUGGGUGUGUCGUUUCGGCGAUCGCGCUCUCGUAUAUUUGCGCGCGGUCGGGGCUUGGCGUUCGAGGCUUCGUCGAAGCUACCGUCUGAUUACUGCUACUGCUGGGGGCGUCCGUCGCAAUGUAUCUUCUUAGAGGGAUCAGCGGCGUAUAGCCGCACGAGAAAGAGCAAUAACAGGUCUGUGAUGCCCUUAGAUGUUCUGGGCCGCACGCGCGCUACAAUGUAGAGAUCAGCGUGCUUUCCCUCUCCGAAAGGAGCGGGUAACCCGUUGAAACCCCUACCCGAUUGGGAUUGGGGAUUGCAAAUAUUUCCCAUAAACGAGGAAUUCCCAGUAAGCGCGAAUCAUUAAUUCGCGCUGAUUACGUCCCUGCCCUUUGUACACACCGCCCGUCGCUACUACCGAUUGAAUGAUUCAGUGAGGGCAUCGGACUGGCGCCUUCGGUUUAGUAACAUAGACCUUAGGCUGACGGAAAGAUGUCCGAACU
This 2119-nucleotide ribosomal RNA is filed under the name Ilyarachna antarctica. RNAcentral's name for it is "SSU rRNA". It matches the Rfam family "Eukaryotic small subunit ribosomal RNA". Lineage: Eukaryota; Metazoa; Arthropoda; Malacostraca; Isopoda; Munnopsidae. The record is from RNAcentral.